Ictalurus punctatus (channel catfish) is the source of this 1680-nucleotide long non-coding RNA. The record is from Ensembl. NCBI's taxonomy places the organism in Eukaryota, Metazoa, Chordata, Actinopteri, Siluriformes, Ictaluridae.
GAAAAUCUCCAAAACUACAAUCUGAAGUCACCUACAUCACCACAAGUUGUUUGGAGGGGUUUCAAGAAAAAAGCCUCUACUCUCAUCCACAAACAAACUCGAGUGUCUUCAGUUUGCCAGACACUACUGGAACUUCAAAUGGGAUCGGGUUCUCUGGUCCGAUGAAACCAAAAUAGAGCUUUUUGGCAAUAAACCCAGAGGUGGUUUUAGCACACACAGAGAGGUAGCCAUAUGGAAAAGUACCUCAUGCCCAUGGUUAAAUAUGCUGGUGGCUCUUUAAUGUUUUGGGGCUGUUUUUCUGCCAGAGUACCUGGACAGUUUGUUAGGAUACAUGGCUUCAUGGGCUCUAUCAAAUAUCAAUAGAUAUUAAAUGAAAACCUGACUGCCUCUGCCAGAAAACUUAAAAUGGGCCGUGGUUGGAUCUUCCACAAGGACAAUGGUCCAAAACACAUCAAAAUCAACACAAAAAUGGUUUACUGACCACAAAAUCAAGGUCCAUGCCAUGACCAUCCCAGUCCCCUGACCUGAAUAAACUGAAGAGGAGAGUCCACCAAUGUGAAAUUUGAAGGAUCUGGAGAGAUUCUGAAUGGAGUCUCAGAUCCCUUGCCAUGUAUUCUCCAACCUCAUCAGGCAUUAUAGGAGAAGACUCGGAGCUGUUCUCUUUGCAAAGAGAGGUAGCACAAAAUAUUGACUGAAAAGGUUUUUUGAUAAACCUGUCUUGUGUUUGCAAUUGUUUGAUAUCCAUGAGAGCAGAGAAUUUUUGUGAUUUAUUUUUUUAAACAAAUGAUCAAAGGGUUUAAACAAUAAAGACAAUUUUUUUCACAGCCUUCUUUGCUCAUAUUUACCAAGGGUGCCGAUAUUAAUGGAGGGCACUGUAUAUAUGUAUAUGCAUAUGGUUACUCCACAGGAACCACUGAUCUAAGUUUGCUUUAAAGGGGUGGAAUCCACACAGAUACUACUCCCAGACGCUAUGGGCUGCAUCCUAAACUGCACAGUGUUUAGCAUAUACUGUAUACUGUAUACUUGAUAUUUUAAGGACUCAACCUCCAAGUUGCUAAUUACUGAGUUAUAAGAGAGUGCAAUAUACUGCGAUACCUGUUGUCUCUUGGACCAGGAUGCAUUUUAUGGUGUAGCAGUACAUGUAUGUGCAAAGUUUGUGGUUUUCACAGUAAGCCUUAGUGGUGGCGUUUUAAACUAUUCAUCUUUCAUAGAUCAAUGUAACUUAUAAGAGAUUUACACUUCAAAAUGUUGAUAUAUUUUUGUACUUUUAAGACUUUUAUAAUGAUUAUGUGUCAUUAUGAUUGUAAAAAAAAAAUAAUAAUCCAUUUUAUCGGAUCCAUACGGAACUUUAAGAAGCAGAAGUGCCUUCUGUGUAUGCUGUAUAAUUGUAAAUAAAACUGAUUUGAAUUUGUACUUUCCGAACCACAUACAUCUAUAUGUGUUACAGACUUGUGUAGGAGAUUAUUGAGGACAUUGACACUUGUAUCUCUUGUUUACCAUUGACCAUACUUUUCAAUUAUUUUCCAUAUGUGUAACAACUUCUGCAACACAUUACCGACUCACUUUGGUUUCUUCUCUGGGUGUAUACGGGAUUAAUGUAUGCAGUAUCUUGAUCUUUUGCACAGAAAAUGUUCACUAAAUUUGACUCACUGUUCACUGUACAGUGGUCCAGAACACAAU